CCCAGCGUGGAUUUGGGAAAGGGCCCCAGCUCUGCUGCUCUGCCAAGUUGGCAGACGCUGAAGGUCUCUUUCUGGCUUGCUUCUAAGUCUUGUGUAACCUAUCCAUGCUGCAUUGUAAACGGGUGAAACCUAUUUUGUUGAUCCCCCAUCGUGGAGGCUUACAAACACGGUAUGUGAGAGGAAGAUGUUUCAUUUCUGAAUUCUGAUUGGUGCAAUUUUCUUGCAGUCUCAUUGACCAAGUGCCAGGCAAUUGUAUUCCACAUAUAAGUGAGAUCAUAUGGAAUAUAUCUUUAUUUUACUUUGCUUAACACCCUCUGAGUCAAUCCAUGUUGUCACAAAUGGCAAGAUUUCAUUCUUUUUUAUGGCUAAAUAAUAUUCCAUUGAAAGUAUGGCUGCUGGCUUCUCCCAGAGCAAGUGAUCCAAGAAAAAGAACAAGGAGGAAAUUGCAAUGCGUUCUAUGAUCUAGUCUUGGAAGUCAUACACUGUC
This is a long non-coding RNA of Manis pentadactyla (Chinese pangolin), 487 nucleotides long. RefSeq lists it as uncharacterized. Lineage: Eukaryota; Metazoa; Chordata; Mammalia; Pholidota; Manidae. The record is from RefSeq and is a predicted model, not a curated record. The transcript has 3 exons.